RNAcentral lists this transfer RNA (71 nucleotides) under Crinia remota. RNAcentral describes it as "tRNA-Gln". The record is from RNAcentral. Lineage: Eukaryota; Metazoa; Chordata; Amphibia; Anura; Myobatrachidae.
UUAGAAAGGUAGGAAUCGAACCUACACCUGGGAGAUCAAAACCCCCUGCAAUUCCAUUUUACCACUCUCUA